UACGAAGGGGGCUAGCGUUGUUCGGAAUCACUGGGCGUAAAGCGCACGUAGGCGGAUCUUUAAGUCAGGGGUGAAAUCCCGAGGCUCAACCUCGGAACUGCCUUUGAUACUGGGGAUCUCGAGUCCGGGAGAGGUGAGUGGAACUGCGAGUGUAGAGGUGAAAUUCGUAGAUAUUCGCAAGAACACCAGUGGCGAAGGCGGCUUACUGGUCCGGUUCUGACGCUGAGGCGCGAAAGCGUGGGGAGCAAACAGG
This 253-nucleotide ribosomal RNA is filed under the name uncultured bacterium. Its description in RNAcentral is "partial 16S ribosomal RNA". It matches the Rfam family "Bacterial small subunit ribosomal RNA", at positions 524 to 776 of the family's 1533-position model. The record is from RNAcentral.